AUUGAACGCUGGCGGCAGGCCUAACACAUGCAAGUCGAGCGAGCGGCGGACGGGUGAGUAAUGUCUGGGAAACUGCCUGAUGGAGGGGGAUAACUACUGGAAACGGUAGCUAAUACCGCAUACCAUCAGAUGUGCCCAGAGGGGUUUAGCUAGUAGGGGGGGUAAUGGCUCACCUAGGCGACGCUCCCUAGCUGGUCUGAGAGGAUGACCAGCCACACUGGAACUGAGACACGGCCCAGACUCCUACGGGAGGCAGCAGUGGGGAAUAUUGCACAAUGGACGAAAGCCUGAUGCAGCCAUGCCGCGUGAGUGAAGAAGGCCUUCGGGUUGUAAAGCACUUUCGGCGAGGAGGCGUUACCCGCAGAAGAAGCACCGGCUAACUCCGUGCCAGCCGCCGCGGUAAUAC
Molecule: ribosomal RNA, 406 nt
Filed under: uncultured bacterium
Lineage: Bacteria
Description: partial 16S ribosomal RNA
Rfam family: Bacterial small subunit ribosomal RNA
Source: RNAcentral